Molecule: long non-coding RNA, 1181 nt
Organism: Pseudopodoces humilis (Tibetan ground-tit)
Lineage: Eukaryota; Metazoa; Chordata; Aves; Passeriformes; Paridae
Source: RefSeq, a predicted model, not a curated record
GCUCGGGACUCCGAUCCUGAGGCGGCCGCGCCGGUCCCGCCCGGGUGGGGCCCCGGCGCGCGGUCGAGACCAUGGAGGAGCCGAGCGGUUGCUGUGGGUGCAGCCGCGCUGAAGAGGAAGCACUGAAGGAACCUUCCUGGCAGUGAGUGGGAGUCGCUGAGGGCUCCGUCCAGCUCUGGGCACAAAAGUUGGCCCUAACCUCGGCACCCCCUGUGGCUUUGGGCUCUCAACACCCCCGCUGUAGGAAACACAACACUGCAGGCAGGACCAGCUGUGGACACUCGAUGAAACACUCGCCACAGACCGAAUGAACCCUCAGGACUGGUGCCUCCCUGCAAACAGGCAUCGAGCACAGGGUAAAUAAUUGCAGCUGCUGGGUAAAUGCAGGAAAUCAGCAUUAUUGUAGAGUUUUGUGCUGCCCACAGCUGUUCACCUGUAUUGUUCCAUUGCCAGGAAUGAGCCAUCGAGCUCUGUCCUAUGCACAUUCCAAGGGCUGGUGUUCAAAGCAGCGCUGGCAUAAAAAGUGGACUUCCAUUUGUGCAGGAAUUUCAUUGCUGGCACUGGGAAAGGGUUGGGAGCGUUCUGGGUUUCAUCAGCGUGAUACUCUGUGCAGACCCUGUAGGUGCUGCAAGCGCUGUCCUGCUCCCAGUCCAAGCAGGUUCUGGUUCCCAGUCCUCCCUGCGUCCGUGCCCAGCCAGCAUCCCGGAGACACAACGGGCGCCCACAGCACCCCAAACAGAGGAUUGUUUCCCGAGGGGAAGCGUGGAUUCCAAGGUGUGAGAGAGAUUUGUAUUUCCAGCGUGGAUCAACUCCAACCCUCCCCGGCCACGGCGCAUCCGACUGCAAUAAUUAAUUUAUGUCCCUCCCCGCCCUGUCCCAGCCCAGCCGGCCGCGCUCUCCCCGGCACGUCGCUGUCAAGUGCUUGUGUAGAGGAGUGAGAACUGCAGAUAUUUAUUAAAUGGGGGGUUCUUGACAGUAUUUCAUGUACUAAAUAUUUACACUGAGCGCAGGUGAUUCUUCCUUUUGCCAAGAUCAAAUCAGGAGGUGGAAUUAAAUGCUGUGUCAUAUAGAUGGAAUGGAAAUUGAAGCUGCUCGACUGCUGUAGAGAAAUUGCUGGUCUUAUUCUUCAAAAAAAGCGUAAUAUUAAAUGUUAAAUUAAAUAAAAAGGGUUUUUUAUCACA